Molecule: ribosomal RNA, 276 nt
Filed under: uncultured prokaryote
Description: partial 16S ribosomal RNA
Rfam family: Bacterial small subunit ribosomal RNA
Source: RNAcentral
UACGUAGGGUGCGAGCGUUGUCCGGAAUUACUGGGCGUAAAGAGCUCGUAGGUGGUUUGUCACGUCGUCUGUGAAAUUCCGGGGCUUAACCUCGGGCGUGCAGGCGAUACGGGCAAUACUUGAGUGCUGUAGGGGAGACUGGAAUUCCUGGUGUAGCGGUGAAAUGCGCAGAUAUCAGGAGGAACACCGGUGGCGAAGGCGGCUUUCUGGCCAGUUACUGACGCUCAUGCGCGAAAGCUGGGGUAGCGAACCGGAUUAGAUACCCGGGUAGUCCCU